AGAGUUUGAUCCUGGCUCAGGAUGAACGCUGGCGGCGUGCUUAACACAUGCAAGUCGAACGGUGAAGCCCAGCUUGCUGGGUGGAUCAGUGGCGAACGGGUGAGUAACACGUGAGCAAUCUGCCCCUGACUCUGGGAUAAGCGCUGGAAACGGCGUCUAAUACUGGAUACGAACAGCGACCGCAUGGUCAGUUGUUGGAAAGAAUUUCGGUCAGGGAUGAGCUCGCGGCCUAUCAGCUUGUUGGUGAGGUAAUGGCUCACCAAGGCGUCGACGGGUAGCCGGCCUGAGAGGGUGACCGGCCACACUGGGACUGAGACACGGCCCAGACUCCUACGGGAGGCAGCAGUGGGGAAUAUUGCACAAUGGGCGCAAGCCUGAUGCAGCAACGCCGCGUGAGGGACGACGGCCUUCGGGUUGUAAACCUCUUUUAGCAGGGAAGAAGCGAAAGUGACGGUACCUGCAGAAAAAGCGCCGGCUAACUACGUGCCAGCAGCCGCGGCAAUACGUAGGGCGCAAGCGUUAUCCGGAAUUAUUGGGCGUAAAGAGCUCGUAGGCGGUUUGUCGCGUCUGCUGUGAAAUCCCGAGGCUCAACCUCGGGUCUGCAGUGGGUACGGGCAGACUAGAGUGCGGUAGGGGAGAUUGGAAUUCCUGGUGUAGCGGUGGAAUGCGCAGAUAUCAGGAGGAACACCGAUGGCGAAGGCAGAUCUCUGGGCCGUAACUGACGCUGAGGAGCGAAAGGGUGGGGAGCAAACAGGCUUAGAUACCCUGGUAGUCC
RNAcentral lists this ribosomal RNA (775 nucleotides) under uncultured bacterium. Its description in RNAcentral is "bacterial SSU rRNA". It matches the Rfam family "Bacterial small subunit ribosomal RNA", at positions 8 to 796 of the family's 1533-position model. The record is from RNAcentral.